RNAcentral lists this ribosomal RNA (462 nucleotides) under uncultured bacterium. Its description in RNAcentral is "bacterial SSU rRNA". It matches the Rfam family "Bacterial small subunit ribosomal RNA", at positions 28 to 507 of the family's 1533-position model. The record is from RNAcentral.
GACGAACGCUGGCGGCGUGCCUAACACAUGCAAGUCGAGCGAUGAAGUUCCUUCGGGAACGGAUUAGCGGCGGACGGGUGAGUAACACGUGGGCAACCUGCCUUAUAGAGGGGAAUAGCCUUCCGAAAGGAAGAUUAAUACCGCAUAAGAUUGUAGCUUCGCAUGAAGUAGCAAUUAAAGGAGUAAUCCGCUAUAAGAUGGGCCCGCGGCGCAUUAGCUAGUUGGUGAGGUAACGGCUCACCAAGGCGACGAUGCGUAGCCGACCUGAGAGGGUGAUCGGCCACAUUGGGACUGAGACACGGCCCAGACUCCUACGGGAGGCAGCAGUGGGGAAUAUUGCACAAUGGGGGAAACCCUGAUGCAGCAACGCCGCGUGAGUGAUGACGGCCUUCGGGUUGUAAAGCUCUGUCUUUGGGGACGAUAAUGACGGUACCCAAGGAGGAAGCCACGGCUAACUACGUG